AUUGAACGCUGGCGGCAGGCCUAACACAUGCAAGUCGAGCGAGCGGCGGACGGGUGAGUAAUGUAUGGGGAUCUGCCCGAUAGAGGGGGAUAACUACUGGAAACGGUUGCUAAUACCGCAUCCUAUCGGAAGGACCACUAUGGGAUUAGCUAGUAGUUUGGGUAAAGGCUCACCUAGGCGACGAUCUCUAGCUGGUCUGAGAGGAUGAUCAGCCACACUGGGACUGAGACACGGCCCAGACUCCUACGGGAGGCAGCAGUGGGGAAUAUUGCACAAUGGGCGCAAGCCUGAUGCAGCCAUGCCGCGUGUAUGAAGAAGGCCUUAGGGUUGUAAAGUACUUUCAGCGGGGAGGCGUUACCCGCAGAAGAAGCACCGGCUAACUCCGUGCCAGCAGCCGCGGUAAUUC
Molecule: ribosomal RNA, 406 nt
Filed under: uncultured bacterium
Lineage: Bacteria
Description: partial 16S ribosomal RNA
Rfam family: Bacterial small subunit ribosomal RNA
Source: RNAcentral